GUGUCAGCAGCCGCGGUAAUACGUAGGCAGCAAGCGUUGUUCGGAGUUACUGGGCGUAAAGAGUAUGUAGGCGGUUGUCCAAGUCUGGUGUGAAAUCUCCCGGCUUAACUGGGAGGGUGCGCCGGAUACUGGAGAGCUAGAGCGUGGGAGAGGAAAGCGGAAUUCCUGGUGUAGCGGUGAAAUGCGUAGAUAUCAGGAGGAACACCGGCGGUGUAGACGGCUUUCUGGACCACGGCUGACGCUGAGAUACGAAAGCGUGGGUAGCAAACAGGAUUAGAUACCCUGGUAGUCCACGCCCUAAACGAUGCACACUUGGUGUGAGCCAUUCAUUUGGUUCGUGCCGGAGCUAACGCGUUAAGUGUGCCGCCUGGGGAGUACGGUCGCAAGGCUGAA
RNAcentral lists this ribosomal RNA (393 nucleotides) under uncultured bacterium. RNAcentral describes it as "bacterial SSU rRNA". It matches the Rfam family "Bacterial small subunit ribosomal RNA", at positions 505 to 898 of the family's 1533-position model. The record is from RNAcentral.